Molecule: ribosomal RNA, 492 nt
Filed under: uncultured bacterium
Lineage: Bacteria
Description: partial 16S ribosomal RNA
Rfam family: Bacterial small subunit ribosomal RNA
Source: RNAcentral
AGUGAACGCUGGCGGUAGGCCCAACACAUGCAAGUCGAACGGCAGCACAGUAAGAGCUUGCUCUUACGGGUGGCGAGUGGCGGACGGGUGAGGAAUACAUCGGAAUCUACUUUUUCGUGGGGGAUAACGUAGGGAAACUUACGCUAAUACCGCAUACGACCUACGGGUGAAAGCAGGGGAUCUUCGGACCUUGCGCGAUUGAAUGAGCCGAUGUCGGAUUAGCUAGUUGGCGGGGUAAAGGCCCACCAAGGCGACGAUCCGUAGCUGGUCUGAGAGGAUGAUCAGCCACACUGGAACUGAGCCACGGUCCAGACUCCUACGGGGGGAAGCAGUGGGGAAUAUUGGACAAUGGGCGCAAGCCUGAUCCAGCCAUACCGCGUGGGUGAAGAAGGCCUUCGGGUUGUAAAGCCCUUUUGUUGGGAAAGAAGAGCAGCAGGUUAAUACCCCGCUGUUCUGACGGUACCCAAAGAAUAAGCACCGGCUAACUUCGUG